This 359-nucleotide ribosomal RNA is filed under the name Dicrateria rotunda. RNAcentral's name for it is "partial small subunit ribosomal RNA". It matches the Rfam family "Eukaryotic small subunit ribosomal RNA", at positions 595 to 957 of the family's 1831-position model. The record is from RNAcentral. Lineage: Eukaryota; Haptophyta; Isochrysidales; Isochrysidaceae. RNAcentral also lists the same sequence under 1 other name.
UAGCGUAUAUUAAAGUUGUUGCAGUUAAAACGCUCGUAGUCGGAUUUCGGGGCGGCUUCGUCGGUCUGCCGAUGGGUAUGCACUGACGCGGGCGUCCUUCCUUCCGGAGACGCGUCCUACUCUUAGCUGAGCGGGGCGUGGAGACGGAUCGUUUACUUUGAAAAAAUCAGAGUGUUUCAAGCAGGCAUCAUCGCUCUUGCAUGGAUUAGCAUGGGAUAAUGAAAUAGGACCUUGGUGCUAUUUUGUUGGUUUCGAGCACCGAAGUAAUGAUUAACAGGGACAGUCAGGGGCACUCGUAUUCCGCCGAGAGAGGUGAAAUUCUCAGACCAGCGGAAGACGAACCACUGCGAAAGCAUUUG